RNAcentral lists this ribosomal RNA (650 nucleotides) under uncultured Flexibacteraceae bacterium. Its description in RNAcentral is "bacterial SSU rRNA". It matches the Rfam family "Bacterial small subunit ribosomal RNA", at positions 27 to 692 of the family's 1533-position model. Lineage: Bacteria; Pseudomonadati; Bacteroidota; Cytophagia; Cytophagales; Cytophagaceae. The record is from RNAcentral.
GGAUACGCUACGGCAGGCUAUCACUGCAGUCGAACGGUGUCUUCGGACAUAGUGGCGCACGGGUGCGUAACACGUAUGCAACCUACCUUACAUUGGGGGAUAGCCUUUCGAAAGGGAGAUUAAUACCGCAUAAGACAGUAGCUGGGCCCUCCAGCAGCUGUUAAAGAUUUAUCGAUGUAAGCUGGGCAUGCGUCCAAUUAGCUAGUUGGUGAGGUAACGGCUCACCAAGGCAAUGAUUGGUAGGGGAACUGAGAGGUCAAUCCCCCACACUGGCACUGAGAUACGGGCCAGACUCCUACGGGAGGCAGCAGUAGGGAAUAUUGGGCAAUGGACGCAAGUCUGACCCAGCCAUGCCGCGUGCAGGAUGAAGGCGUUAUGCGUUGUAAACUGCUUUUAUACAGGAAGAAACGACUCUUGCGAGAGGCAUUGACGGUUCUGUAUGAAUAAGCACCGGCUAACUCCGUGCCAGCAGCCGCGGUAAUACGGAGGGUGCAAGCGUUGUCCGGAUUUAUUGGGUUUAAAGGGUGCGCAGGUGGUUUAUUAAGUCAGUGGUGAAAGACGGUCGCUCAACGAUUGCAGUGCCAUUGAAACUGGUAGACUUGAGUAAAGUAGAGGUGGGCGGAAUUGAUAGUGUAGCGGUGAAAUGCAUA